GACGAACGCUGGCGGCAUGCCUAAUACAUGCAAGUCGAGCGAACAGAUGGAGUGCUUGCACUUCUGACGUUAGCGGCGAACGGGUGAGUAACACGUAAGGAAUCUACCUAUAAGCGGGGGAUAACAUUCGGAAACGGGUGCUAAUACCGCAUAAUAUCUUCUUCCGCAUGGAAGAAGAUUGAAAGACGGCCCUGCUGUCACUUAUAGAUGACCUUGCGGUGCAUUAGUUAGUUGGUGGGGUAACGGUCUACCAAGACGAUGAUACAUAGCCGACCUGAGAGGGUGAUCGGCCACAUUGGGACUGAGACACGGCCCAAACUCCUACGGGAGGCAGCAGUAGGGAAUCUUCCGCAAUGGGCGAAAGCCUGACGGAGCAAUGCCGCGUGAGUGAAGAAGGCCUUCGGGUCGUAAAACUCUGUUAUAAGAGAAGAACAAAUUGUAGAGUAACUGCUACAGUCUUGACGGUAUCUUAUCAGAAAGCCACGGCUAACUACGUGCCAGCAGCCGCCGUAA
RNAcentral lists this ribosomal RNA (513 nucleotides) under uncultured bacterium. RNAcentral describes it as "partial 16S ribosomal RNA". It matches the Rfam family "Bacterial small subunit ribosomal RNA", at positions 28 to 523 of the family's 1533-position model. The record is from RNAcentral.